AUGAUUUUUUAUUAUUUGUGAACGUACUACGAACAAACAAAAAAUAUUAUAGUCAAAAAAAUUAAAUCAAAACUUUUAACAAUGGAUCUCUUGGUUCUCGUAUCGAUGAAGAACGCAGCGAAACGCGAUAUUUCUUGUGAAUUGCAGCAGUGAAUCAUCAGUUUUUGAACGCACAUUGCACUUUGGGGUAUCCCCCAAAGUAUACUUGUUUGAGCGUUGUUUCUCUCUUGGAAUUGCAUUUGCUUUUCUAAAAAAUCGAAUCAAAUUCGUUUGAAACUUCAUUUAUUUCAACCUCAGAUCAAGUAGGAUUACCCGCUGAACUUAAGCAUAUCAAUAAGCGGAGGAAUCGUACGCUUGGUCAUUUAGAGGAAGUAAAAGUCGUAACAAGGUUUCCGUAGGUGAACCUGCGGAAGGAUCAUUACAAGAAGAGACCCUAACCGGUCCUCUCAACCCUGCCCAUCGUACCUUUUUUGUUGUUCCCUCGGCGGUGCUCGCGGGCCCGCCGGCGGGAAGACCAAACAAACCCUUUGCAAACAAGCAUAUCGAAUCUCUGAUCAAACAUGAAUUGUCA
RNAcentral lists this unclassified non-coding RNA (571 nucleotides) under soil metagenome. RNAcentral's name for it is "partial contains internal transcribed spacer 1, 5.8S ribosomal RNA, and internal transcribed spacer 2". The stretch from base 71 to 219 matches the Rfam family "5.8S ribosomal RNA". The record is from RNAcentral.